This 67-nucleotide transfer RNA is filed under the name Marmota monax (woodchuck). RNAcentral describes it as "tRNA.Phe". Lineage: Eukaryota; Metazoa; Chordata; Mammalia; Rodentia; Sciuridae. The record is from RNAcentral.
GGGUGUAGCUUGGUGGUAGAGCAUUUGCCUAAAGUGUGAGGCCCUGGGUUCCAUCCCCAGCACUGCA